UCGUGGAGUGAUCUGUCUGGUUUAUUCCGAUAACGAGCGAGACUCCAGCCUGCUAAAUAGCCGCCUCAUUCUCGUGUGCGCGGCUUCUUAGAGGGAUCUACGGCGUCAGCCGGAAGAGACGGAGCGAUAACA
This 132-nucleotide ribosomal RNA is filed under the name uncultured eukaryote. Its description in RNAcentral is "partial 18S ribosomal RNA". It matches the Rfam family "Eukaryotic small subunit ribosomal RNA", at positions 1299 to 1458 of the family's 1831-position model. The record is from RNAcentral.